Molecule: ribosomal RNA, 781 nt
Filed under: Vibrio sp.
Lineage: Bacteria; Pseudomonadati; Pseudomonadota; Gammaproteobacteria; Vibrionales; Vibrionaceae
Description: bacterial SSU rRNA
Rfam family: Bacterial small subunit ribosomal RNA
Source: RNAcentral
CGUGUGUGAAGAAGGCCUUCGGGUUGUAAAGCACUUUCAGUCGUGAGGAAGGUGGUGUAGUUAAUAGCUGCUUUAUUUGACGUUAGCGACAGAAGAAGCACCGGCUAACUCCGUGCCAGCAGCCGCGGUAAUACGGAGGGUGCGAGCGUUAAUCGGAAUUACUGGGCGUAAAGCGCAUGCAGGUGGUUUGUUAAGUCAGAUGUGAAAGCCCGGGGCUCAACCUCGGAAUAGCAUUUGAAACUGGCAGACUAGAGUACUGUAGAGGGGGGUAGAAUUUCAGGUGUAGCGGUGAAAUGCGUAGAGAUCUGAAGGAAUACCGGUGGCGAAGGCGGCCCCCUGGACAGAUACUGACACUCAGAUGCGAAAGCGUGGGGAGCAAACAGGAUUAGAUACCCUGGUAGUCCACGCCGUAAACGAUGUCUACUUGGAGGUUGUGGCCUUGAGCCGUGGCUUUCGGAGCUAACGCGUUAAGUAGACCGCCUGGGGAGUACGGUCGCAAGAUUAAAACUCAAAUGAAUUGACGGGGGCCCGCACAAGCGGUGGAGCAUGUGGUUUAAUUCGAUGCAACGCGAAGAACCUUACCUACUCUUGACAUCCAGAGAAACUUUCCAGAGAUGGAUUGGUGCCUUCGGGGAACUCUGAGACAGGUGCUGCAUGGCUGUCGUCAGCUCGUGUUGUGAAAUGUUGGGUUUAAGUCCCGCAACUAGCGCAACCCUUAUCCUUGUUUGCCAGCGAGUUAUGUCGGGAACUCCCAGGGAGACUGCCGGUGAUAAACCGGGAG